UUAUUCAUAAUGGGCCAAAGCCUGAUGGUGCGACGCCGCGUGAGGGAUGAAGGCCUUCGGGUUGUAAACCUCUGUCACCGGGGAAGAAACGCUUUGAGUUAACAGUUCAAAGCCUGACUUAACCCGGAGAGGAAGCAGUGGCUAACUCUGUGCCAGCAGCCGCGGUAAUACAGAGACUGCAAGCGUUAUUCGGAUUCACUGGGCGUAAAGGGUGCGCAGGCGGCCGUGUGUGUGAGGCGUGAAAGCCCGGGGCUUAACCCCGGAAUUGCACCUCAAACUACAUGGCUAGAGCAUUGGAGAGGGUAGCGGAAUUCACGGUGUAGCAGUGAAAUGCGUAGAUAUCGUGAGGAACACCAGAGGCGAAGGCGGCUACCUGGACAAUUGCUGACGCUCAGGCACGAAAGCGUGGGGAGCAAAAGGG
RNAcentral lists this ribosomal RNA (421 nucleotides) under uncultured bacterium. RNAcentral's name for it is "bacterial SSU rRNA". It matches the Rfam family "Bacterial small subunit ribosomal RNA", at positions 362 to 776 of the family's 1533-position model. The record is from RNAcentral.